UACGUAGGGGCCGAGCGUUGUCCGGAGUUAUUGGGCGUAAAGCGCGCGCAGGCGGCCUCGCGCGCCCGACGUGAAAGCCCCCGGCUUAACCGGGGAGGGUCGUUGGGGACGGCGGGGCUUGAGGGCGGGAGAGGGCGGUGGAAUUCCCGGUGUAGUGGUCAAAUUCGUAGAUAUGGGGAGGAACACCGGUGGCGAAGGCGGCCACCUGGACGGUAACUGACGCUGAGACGCGAAAGCGUGGGGAGCAAACAGG
RNAcentral lists this ribosomal RNA (253 nucleotides) under uncultured bacterium. RNAcentral describes it as "partial 16S ribosomal RNA". It matches the Rfam family "Bacterial small subunit ribosomal RNA", at positions 524 to 776 of the family's 1533-position model. The record is from RNAcentral.